This 2383-nucleotide unclassified non-coding RNA is filed under the name Hevea brasiliensis (rubber tree). Lineage: Eukaryota; Viridiplantae; Streptophyta; Magnoliopsida; Malpighiales; Euphorbiaceae. The record is from RNAcentral.
GUUUCAAUUCAACAUAAAGAAAUGUUCAUUUUGUGCGCGCGCAGGCAGUGUAUUAAGGCUAAGAAAAAGAAUCGAUCUUUUUAAUGCAUAUGAGUUAGAUUGGUCUGCAUACAUCCAAAACACACAGCCCAUGAUAUUUGAUCUGAAAUGAGGUUGAAUACUGAGAGAAGAUCAGGGCUGGGGAUCAAGGAAUCCAUGUGAAAUCAGAAGUUGCCAGCAAUUUAUGUUAGCAGUAGAUGCAUUAUUGGGCAAGUUUGUAAUUCAUUUCUUCCCAUGAAGUUGCCUCGAUUUGGCUAAUUCCUAAGUUGCCAUCCCCUCCACCAUCUCUCAUCAUCUCCCUCACCCUUGAUACAUCAUCCCACCUCCCUGUAACUGCGUAAAGAUUUGACAUCAACACGUACAGGCCCCCAUUUCUGUAAUCCAAUAAAUAUAAUUUCUUGGCCAAACAUUCACCAAGCUUGACCUUUUGGUGGAUGCAACAAGCGCUAAGCAAAGCACCCCACACAGCAGAAUCAGGUUCGGUCUCCAUAUCCUUGAUAAACAACAAUGCUUCCUCAAAUAAACCUGCACGAGCAAGGAGACCAACCAUGCAAGCAGAGUGUUGCAAAGUUGGUACCAUACCAAACUCUUUAGUCAUUAUCUGGAAGUACCUUCUUCCUUCAUGAACAAGACCCCCAUGGGUGCAAGCAGCUAAAACUCCUAAAAAAGUAAUCUUAUCAGGUUCUACCCCUUGCUCUCGCAUGUCAGAGUAAGAAGUUAGAGCCUUAUGUUCAAAGCCACACAAACUAUAGCCUGAGAUCAUUGCAUUCCAUGUAGCUAGACAUGGUUCAUUGAUGCUCUUGAAUACCCUUUCUGCUUGAAUUAUGUUUCCACACUUGGUAUACAUGUCUAUAAGAGCAGUUCCAACAAAGUCUUCCAAUUCCAAUUUGUUCCUAAGAAUGUAGUUGUGAAGUCUCUUACCAAACUGCAAGUAUCCAAGCUGAGAACAACCAGACAGUAAACUAGCAACAGUGACAGCAUCUGGAUUGUGUCCAUACAUCUUCAUUUGACAGAAAAACUCUAUGGCAUCACUUACUCUUCCAGCUUGUACGCAGCCAGAUAUCACUGAAUUCCAACUGAUUAAUGGUUUUUCAUGCAUUUCAGAAAACAAAGAGAAUAGAGCUUCUACGUUGUUGAACUUGGAAUACAUGCUAAUUAGACCAUUUGCAACCAAAUUAUGGAUGUCCAAUCCGCUCUUUAAUGAAUAACCAUGAAGAGCAAGCCCAAUGCUCAUAUGACAAGGGUCAGUAAUCCCAUGAAGGAUACUAAUCAUAGCAACAGAAUCUAGUUUCAUGUCUAGCUGCUGCAUCCGAGUAAAACACUCCACAACCCAAUCCAUAUUUCCUGUUUCAGCAUAGCUUGAAAUAAUUGCAGUUAAAGAAACCAAGUUUUUCUGCGGCAAGGACCAGUAAAGCAGCUCUGCUGAUUCCCUGCUUCCACAUCUUGCAUACCUACAAACUAAUGAAGUAAUUACUGAUGCGUCAUUGACAAUACCCACUUUCAUGGUAUAACAAUGUGUAGAUUCUGGAUUAGCAUUUGCUGACAGAAGACUCAUAAUGGUAACUGGAUUGACUUCCACACGUGCCUCUAUCAUUUCUUUGAACACAAGCAUUGCCUUGUCAAAGAAACCAUUUUGUCCAUAGCCACUUAACAUGGUGUUCCAAGAAACUACACUUUUGUCUACCAUUUCUUCAAACAGAAGUUCUGCAGAUUCCAAAUCUCCGCAUUUAGCAUACAUCGAAGUAAGUGCAUUUUUCACCUGAGAAUCCAAAUCAAGGCCACACUGAAUCCCAAAACCAUGAAUAGACUUUCCUUGAAACACCAAUUCGCGUUGCCCACAAGAUGGAACCAAACCAACUAAUGUAGUUUGACGAGGGAAAAAAUCCUCUCUAAGCAUCUUAACAAAAAGCUCCAAGGCAAAAAAAUCACACCCAUUUCGCGAAUACCCACAAAUUAAGGCAUUCCAAGAAACAAUAUCUCUAUCAGGCAUACAAUCAAAGACGUUAUGCGCGUGGUUUAUGCACCCCAAUUUCAUGUACAAAUCAAGAAGGGCAGUACUUACAUAGACAAACUGGUCGAAACCCGAUUUUAUCAAGUGGGUAUGGAUUUGAAAGGCUUCAGAUUUUGAAUUUAGUGGAUUUGAAGCUAGUAAAGAUGAAGUAGCAGAAGAUUUAAGAAGUAAAGAGAAAGUGAGGUCAUUGGGUUUCACAUUAGAUUGUAACAACCGGCGAAAAAGAAGCAAUACUGAUUUUUGGUUUCUGGCUUCAAAGCAAGAUUUGAGUAGCGAAUGGACAAGUGAGAGACCGGGUUUUGAAGGGAGAGCGAUAGAGGAGGCCAAGUUCAU